UCGUACAAUGGAGGUGCUUGGGUGGCUGUCGCUGACUUUUUGAAAAGGGUCGUGCACGCCGCUGGCACUCUCUCAUAUCCAUCUCACCCCUUUGUGCAUUGCCGCGUGGGUCCCCCUUUAGGGGGACUUGCGUUUUUACAUAGACACCCUUUGAAUGCAUGUGUAGAACGUCUUAUUUAUUAUCAAUA
RNAcentral lists this unclassified non-coding RNA (188 nucleotides) under uncultured Russula. RNAcentral describes it as "sequence contains ITS1". The record is from RNAcentral. Lineage: Eukaryota; Fungi; Basidiomycota; Agaricomycetes; Russulales; Russulaceae.